RNAcentral lists this ribosomal RNA (425 nucleotides) under uncultured bacterium. Its description in RNAcentral is "bacterial SSU rRNA". It matches the Rfam family "Bacterial small subunit ribosomal RNA", at positions 358 to 774 of the family's 1533-position model. The record is from RNAcentral.
AGAAUCAUUCGCAAUGGGCGAAAGCCUGACGGUGCGACGUCGCGUGGAGGAUGAAGGUCUUCGGAUUGUAAACUCCUGUCAUGUGGAAUAAACGGCCUCUGUGCGAACACCACGGAGGAAUGAUAGUACCACAGGAGGAAGAGACGGCUAACUCUGUGCCAGCAGCCGCGGUAAUACAGAGGUCUCGAGCGUUGUUCGGAUUUACUGGGCGUAAAGGGAGCGUAGGCGGUUCGGUGUGUUGAAUGUGAAAUCCCACGACUCAAUCGUGGACAUGCAUUCAAAACUGCCGGACUGGAGUACUGGAGAGGAAAGCGGAAUUCCUGGUGUAGCGGUGAAAUGCGUAGAUAUCAGGAGGAACACCGAUGGCGAAGGCAGCUUUCUGGACAGAUACUGACGCUGAGGCUCUAAAGUUAGGGGAGCAAACA